Molecule: ribosomal RNA, 110 nt
Filed under: Mesocricetus auratus (golden hamster)
Lineage: Eukaryota; Metazoa; Chordata; Mammalia; Rodentia; Cricetidae
Source: RNAcentral
GUCUACGGCCAUACCACCCUGAACGCGCCCGAUCUCGUCUGAUCUCGGAAGAAGUUUGGGAUCUGGCAAGAUGGCUCAGCAGAUAAAGAUGUGCCUGAUGACCGAAGUUU